Molecule: non-coding RNA, 714 nt
Organism: Misgurnus anguillicaudatus (oriental weatherfish)
Lineage: Eukaryota; Metazoa; Chordata; Actinopteri; Cypriniformes; Cobitidae
Source: RefSeq, a predicted model, not a curated record
CAUCUGCAGGAUGUACUGAGCAAGCUCAAAAACCGCCCCAUGACCCGCUGGUCUCUGACAGGUGAAGUCAGCUGCAAUGAGACGUGACACGGGUGCAUCAGGAGACACUCCAGAUCUUUCUUCUCCAUCACGAGUCUAAUGUGACAGCCUGUCUGCUUAGAAAUGGUCUUCAGCAAAUCUUUGGACACCAUCUCAUUCACAUUAGAUAUAAGAAUCACCUAGUAAGAAACAGUAAAAUGAUGUAGUCACGUAAUCUACUAUGAACCUUUGUCCCAAAAAUAAAUUGCGCUGUACACUAACCUGUUAAUUAAUGAAGCAAGUGAAGUGUUUUGGUAUUUUUCAACAUGAGUUAUACUGUAAAGCUGUGUCUGAAACCGUUCCCUCGUUCACUCAUUCAUUAUUCCCUAUAUGGGGAAUGACAAUUGAGUCCACUAUAUGGGGAAGAAGCAAAUGAAAAUGAUUUCGGACACUGACGCAAAUAUCAUGCGUCAGAGAGCUGUCGCAGAGAUUCAUCAAAAACACCUGUGUGGCUUUAUUGAUUGUGCUGUGAAAUGGUAAAGUUUACUUUCUUACUGUUUUUCACAUUUGUCAUGUUUAUUGUAUUAGUUGAUAAUAAAGAGAACAAAACAACUGCUUAUAAUAUUUAUUUACUGCUGUUUAUUUAUUGUUUAAUAAAAAUGUGUAUUAGAUUUUAAAUAAAAGAUAACGCAAUUA